RNAcentral lists this ribosomal RNA (566 nucleotides) under Xenopus sp. SL096. RNAcentral's name for it is "partial 16S ribosomal RNA". It matches the Rfam family "Bacterial large subunit ribosomal RNA", at positions 1850 to 2610 of the family's 2925-position model. RNAcentral also lists the same sequence under 1 other name. Lineage: Eukaryota; Metazoa; Chordata; Amphibia; Anura; Pipidae. The record is from RNAcentral.
AGGUCCAGCCUGCCCAGUGACUAUAUGUUCAACGGCCGCGGUAUUCUGACCGUGCAAAGGUAGCGUAAUCACUUGUCUUUUAAAUAAAGACUGGUAUGAAUGGCAUCACGAAGGUUCAACUGUCUCCUGCAUCCUAUCCAUAAAACUGACCUCCCCGUGCAGAGGCGGGGAUACAGUCAUAAGACGAGAAGACCCUAUGGAGCUUCAAACUAAAGGCAACUGCCAACUAUUAUUUAACCAUCAGGGAUUAAUCAAUAAACAAGCAGAUAUUGACCUAAAGUUUUCGGUUGGGGCGACCACGGAGAAAAGAAAAUCCUCCUUGAUGAACAGGACAUUUAAUCCUUAACCAAGAAUAACAGUUCUAAGUAACAAAAUUUUAGACUAUAAUUGAUCCAGUCUAACUGAUCAACGAACCAAGUUACCCUAGGGAUAACAGCGCAAUCCAUUUCAAAAGUUCUUAUCGACAAAUGGGUUUACGACCUCGAUGUUGGAUCAGGGCAUCCCAGUGGUGCAGCCGCUACUAAAGGUUCGUUUGUUCAACGAUUAAAGCCCUACGUGAUCUGAGU